Molecule: ribosomal RNA, 468 nt
Filed under: uncultured bacterium
Lineage: Bacteria
Description: partial 16S ribosomal RNA
Rfam family: Bacterial small subunit ribosomal RNA
Source: RNAcentral
GACGAACGCUGGCGGCGUGCUUAACACAUGCAAGUCGAACGGAAAGGCCCUGCUUUUGUGGGGUGCUCGAGUGGCGAACGGGUGAGUAACACGUGAGUAACCUGCCCUUGACUUUGGGAUAACUUCAGGAAACUGGGGCUAAUACCGGAUAGGAGCUCCUGCUGCAUGGUGGGGGUUGGAAAGUUUCGGCGGUUGGGGAUGGACUCGCGGCUUAUCAGCUUGUUGGUGGGGUAGUGGCUUACCAAGGCUUUGACGGGUAGCCGGCCUGAGAGGGUGACCGGCCACAUUGGGACUGAGAUACGGCCCAGACUCCUACGGGAGGCAGCAGUGGGGAAUAUUGCACAAUGGGCGGAAGCCUGAUGCAGCAACGCCGCGUGCGGGAUGACGGCCUUCGGGUUGUAAACCGCUUUCGCUUGUGGCGAAGCGUGAGUGACGGUAAUGGGUAAAGAAGCACCGGCUAACUACGUG